UACGGAGGAUCCAAGCGUUAUCCGGAAUCAUUGGGUUUAAAGGGUCCGUAGGCGGUUUGGUAAGUCAGUGGUGAAAGCCCAUCGCUCAACGGUGGAACGGCCAUUGAUACUGCCAGACUUGAAUUAUUAGGAAGUAACUAGAAUAUGUAGUGUAGCGGUGAAAUGCUUAGAGAUUACAUGGAAUACCAAUUGCGAAGGCAGGUUACUACUAAUGGAUUGACGCUGAUGGACGAAAGCGUGGGGUAGCGAAACAGG
This 255-nucleotide ribosomal RNA is filed under the name uncultured bacterium. Its description in RNAcentral is "partial 16S ribosomal RNA". It matches the Rfam family "Bacterial small subunit ribosomal RNA", at positions 524 to 776 of the family's 1533-position model. The record is from RNAcentral.